AAGACUAUAGACCUGCGGAGUACCUCCGGAAGGAUCAUUAACGUAUCUAUGAUGGGGUGCGGAGCGCCCUGCUCCGGUCGAACGGCCGUGCAGCGGGUGCGCCGCCCCCGUCCCACCUCACAAACCCACUGUGAACAUUCACCGGUGGAGGGGGCUCGGUCUGCGCCGUGUCCCCGAUGCCGAAUACCCAAACUCCAGUUGCAAAGAACGUCGUGCGGACUCGGUGCCGCCUAAAACAUG
This 240-nucleotide unclassified non-coding RNA is filed under the name soil metagenome. RNAcentral describes it as "partial contains 5.8S ribosomal RNA, internal transcribed spacer 2, and large subunit ribosomal RNA". The record is from RNAcentral.